RNAcentral lists this ribosomal RNA (547 nucleotides) under uncultured fungus. RNAcentral's name for it is "eukaryotic LSU rRNA". It matches the Rfam family "Eukaryotic large subunit ribosomal RNA", at positions 62 to 612 of the family's 3401-position model. Lineage: Eukaryota; Fungi. The record is from RNAcentral.
AAACCAACAGGGAUUACCUCAGUAACGGCGAGUGAAGCGGUAACAGCUCAAAUUUGAAAUCUGGGUCUUUCAGGCUCCGAGUUGUAAUUUGUAGAAGAUGCUUCGGGUGCGGCUCCGGUCUAAGUUCCUUGGAACAGGACGUCAUAGAGGGUGAGAAUCCCGUAUGUGAUCGGUUGCUUGCGCCCAUGUGAAGCUCUUUCGACGAGUCGAGUUGUUUGGGAAUGCAGCUCAAAAUGGGUGGUAAAUUUCAUCUAAAGCUAAAUAUUGGCCAGAGACCGAUAGCGCACAAGUAGAGUGAUCGAAAGAUGAAAAGCACUUUGGAAAGAGAGUUAAACAGUACGUGAAAUUGUUGAAAGGGAAGCGCUUGCAACCAGACUUGCGCGUUGCCGAUCAUCCGGGGUUCUCCCCGGUGCACUCGGCCUCGCUCAGGCCAGCAUCGGUUUUGGUGGUGGGAUAAAGGCCUUGGGAAUGUAGCUCCUUUCGGGGAGUGUUAUAGCCCUCGGUGCAAUGCCGCCUACCGGGACCGAGGACCGCGCUCGGCUAGGAU